UGAGGUCGAGUGGUUUGGCAUGAU
This 24-nucleotide non-coding RNA is filed under the name Arabidopsis thaliana (thale cress). Lineage: Eukaryota; Viridiplantae; Streptophyta; Magnoliopsida; Brassicales; Brassicaceae. The record is from RNAcentral.